Molecule: long non-coding RNA, 1858 nt
Organism: Metopolophium dirhodum (rose-grain aphid)
Lineage: Eukaryota; Metazoa; Arthropoda; Insecta; Hemiptera; Aphididae
Exons: 4
Source: RefSeq, a predicted model, not a curated record
UCAAAAUUGUUUUUUUUCUUACCCAUAUUUUAAAGUGUGACUAAUAAGUGCGUACAUAUUAAUGUGGAAUCCGAUUUCUAUUCUACAAAAAUCGUGGUACCUACUGCUAUUAUUUCAACUAUUACCCGCCAACAUAAUUGCAGUUAUUCUACUAAGUAUAUACACAUAGGUAUUACCUACAUGCCAACACACGCACGCAGGCACACAUAACUAGUGUAGUCGAUUUCAAAUAAUUAUUUACAAUUUUGGUAAUUUGUUAGGUACAUUGGUAAGUAACAACGUUCAAAAAGAAGUUCUUCAUACACUAACAUUUAUUAAACAUGAACUAAGAUGUGAAGAUGAAAUUGAAUUGGGCCAAAGACUAGAAAUUUUAGAAACACGAUCAGAUAGUAAUGUUCAUAAUGAUAAUAGCAGUAAGCCAUUUAGCUUGUUGAAUGAUAUGGCUGAUUGUGCUAUACCAUUGAAUAAUGAAGUAGAUCUUAUUAUAUUUGAAGAUAACAUUUCCGGAGAUAAUAUAUUCCGAUCUAAUUUGAAUACAUUGGCAGAAAACAUGUAAAAGCUAUGGUUAAUAGAUUUUUGUACAAACUGUUCAAUGAUGAACUACUAAAAGACUAUUUGUUUACUGGCAAAACAGGAAAAAAAAAUUUUUCAACAUUGGCAAUAUGCUCUGUAAUUUUUGAUACUCUAAAACAACAUAAAAAAUUCAAAUGUGUAUCACAAAAUGAAAUCGAACAAAUUAUUAAAUAUAUUUUUGCACAAGCAACAUUUGAUUUUCAACGACUAGAUGCUAAGUUAAUGAAGGACUAAUUUUUUUUUAUAUAUACAUAAUUUAUUAUUAGCUAGUUAUGUAUCUUGGUAAUAUAUUUUUUAAGUACAACAGUUGAUUAUUUUUUUUUUUUUUAAUUUAAUAUUUUUACUUUAUUAUAAUAUAUUUUCUAUAACGGACUAAUUUUUUUUAUAAUCUGUAGGGUAUGGUACUCUGUUCCAUUUAAGAGUGAACCGGUUUCGCGCUAAAUAUAAUUAAUUAUAUUAUUAAAUAUAAUUACUUAUCGCCUUUUAUCUAUUAAACCAACUAUAAUUGCAAUUUUUCUAAAAAGCCUAUGAGAUUAAAUGAAGUACUAAGAUGGAAAGCAACAAAGUUUAGAUCAUUUUUGCUAUAUACUGGGCCAAUAGUCUUAAAAGGAAUUCUAUUAAUAUUCUAUUCUUUUAAUUUACCUCUAUGUAGUUUUUAGAAUUAUUUUAUCUCUCCUAAAAUUCCUGAAAAAAUGGUUAAUGCCAGUGAAAAAUUAUUAUUACAUUUUGUUGAAAAAUUUGAGGAGCUCUGUGGGGAACAAUUUGUAUCACAAAAUAUCCAUGGACUGAUACAUAUAUUUGAUGAUUAUUGAUAAUUUGGUUCUCUAGAGAAGUGCUCAUGAUUUCCUUUUGAAAAUUACAUGAAAUUUAAAAAAAAAAUGGUUAGGAAACAUGAGAAAUCUUUGGAGCAAGUAAUCAACCGCUAUCAAGAAUUUAUAACAUUUAUUGAAUGAAAAUUUGAAUGGCAAAAAAUUAGAUACCAACGUUACUUGAACACUUUACUGCACCUUUACUGCACCUCAAUUUUAAACAUUUAUUAGCAAUGGCUAUGCGUUCUGCGAUUGGUAGACAGUUAUUGCUGGCCAUCGUCGUUUGUCGGGCACCUGUGCUAACGCUCUCACUAAUGUCCGGAUGGUGGUGGGGUUGCACGGAAAAAACGUGUUUUAGUCAGCCGAGUGGUUCAAUUUUAGAUGGAACAGAGUAUACCCUGAUAUUAUAUUUUACACAACAGUUUAUUAUUUUAUUUUAUUUUUUCUUAGAAAAAAAAAAUUUAAUAUUAAUCUAU